Molecule: long non-coding RNA, 1327 nt
Filed under: Trifolium pratense (red clover)
Lineage: Eukaryota; Viridiplantae; Streptophyta; Magnoliopsida; Fabales; Fabaceae
Description: long non-coding RNA (TPRA_LNC003652)
Source: RNAcentral
UUUCUAUCCAAUUGAUUUCUCAGUAUCCAUUCCAAUACUCCCUCUUCUCUCUCACGCCUACUCCCUCACACUCUAACCAUUCUCUUCAAUUCAAGCUUUGAACUAAGGAAAGGAAGCAUGGAUUCUUACAUGCAAUCAUGGUAGCAACUUCUCUAGCCAUAAGUAAACAAGGUAACAGACUUACCUUUUCCUUUUCUUUAACAUAAUCCUUGUAAUUUCCCAUUUUAAUUAUUCAACCAAAAUCUGAUGAGUACUCCCUUCCUUUUGAAUUGAGAGCUUGUAUGUGAGUUAUAGUAGCCAAGGAGUCAUGGGUUCAUGUUUGAAGCUUGAAGUUUUGAGUGGUGACUUUUGAAAGAGAUUGUGUUGAAUUUCGUUUUUGGAUAUACUUUCAGAAAAACAGUAAGUACUCCUUCCCUGUAACUCCAAUCGAGUUAAUUCUUUAAGUUCUGUAAAGCUAACGAAUUUACCCUCGUUGGCAUAUCAAAUUUUAUCGGAUUCGGAGUUACAAUGCAUUAUGUAGGUGAUGCUAAAGUUGAAGAUACGAAACAGGAUUUCUGCAGAAAAUGUGUUUGGACAGUGCUGCACUUAAAGGUUAACUGCGCCCUCUCUAUAACUCGGUUUGACAUUCCAUUUGCUUCUAUGGAUAGCUAACUCGAUUACGGUUGGUAUGGUUCCGGUUUUGUGAAUUUUCAAUAAGGGAUGAGGUCUGUAUGAAUUUUUGAAGUUGAUACUCCGAUGCAGAAUUCUGCAGAAAGGUAUGGGUACGGGUUUGAAGCAUUUCGAUUGAAAUUAUGCAUAUCGGCGAGCUCUGGAAAUGACAAUGGUAUUGUUCAAGCGUAUUUGCAGGUGGGUUCCCUUAGAGCCUUAAACUCUAGUUAGUUUUAACUCUAUUAGUUUCCCCAAAUUAUGAAUCUUGCAUGAUAACAUAAGCAUUAGGGUGAAUUGUGUAUGAGAGGAGCUUAAUCCCAAAGCUUCUCUUCGUUUUAAUUAUGUGAAAUAUGUUGUAAUGUUCAUGGCUAAUAAGUAAAGGGAUUGUGAUAAUGAUUUUCUGCAAAACGGAUGGAAAUUGUAAAAACAGAGUAAUGAACUGAUAGCCUCGCUAAGCGAAAUGGUACUUGCUAGGCGAGAAUAUCAGCUCAGUACUAUGUAGAAUUUAAAAUUAUGAACAAACUCACGUUUUUGAAUCCCCUACCUUUUUAGUACAUUUUCUGUGAAUAAUACAAGUAUAAUAAUUAAUUAAAAUGUUAAGUACACGUUAAGUUAAGAUAAUCAGGAUAUCAGGACAAGUUAGCUACUCCAGGGAGGGAAAUUCAUGGGUAGGAUANNN